Non-coding RNA from Podarcis lilfordi (Lilford's wall lizard), 76 nucleotides. Lineage: Eukaryota; Metazoa; Chordata; Lepidosauria; Squamata; Lacertidae. The record is from the annotation of a GenBank genome assembly.
GCCUGUAGGCGAGCUCAGUCAGUAAAGCGCGAGACUUUUAAUCUCAAGGUUCCGGGUUUGAGCCUCACGAUGGGCA